Molecule: long non-coding RNA, 2212 nt
Filed under: Malus domestica (apple)
Lineage: Eukaryota; Viridiplantae; Streptophyta; Magnoliopsida; Rosales; Rosaceae
Description: long non-coding RNA (MDOM_LNC019193)
Source: RNAcentral
UUCUUAUUGAAACUUUGCAGGAUGUUUAUUUAGUCAAUUAUCUAUUAGUUUAUCACAAAAAAUUGGAAGGAAAUGCAUUGCAUGAUGGAUUUAACAUUAUCAAGUUGAUUAUAUAGCGAGCUGACAAACAUUGUGAGUGUAGAAAAUAUGUAGAAAUUAAUUAAAGAAGUCUAAACACAUCAUAAUCAUUUAUAUAUAAUGAAUUAGUACAAUAUUUUACACUUUAUACAUUGUAUGGUAAGAUACAUGAGUGACUUAGUACCACAUAGAGUUCCUAUGAGAUUCAAAAUUUUCACUAUCUUCAUCAUCUCUAUGUGUAGAGUGAGUGUAUUUUGAAGAGUAGUUAGCAACCAUGACAAUGGUUUUCAAGAACCAAAACCCAAAAGUCAAUAGGAAACCGAAUACUUCGGUAUUUUUCGGGAUUACCAAACAAAUGGGAUUUGGAAACCAAUCCCAUAUUGAAAAUUUUGGUAUUUUUCGAGAUGGGAUUCCCGAACUUCAGGAUGGUUUUGGUUUGGGAUUUUUCGGUUUGGGUUUGAGACUUUUUCGGUUUGGUUUGGGAUUUUCCGGAAUUUUUUCCAGCCCUACCAUGUAAGUGACCAAAUAAAAAAUAGAAAAAUUAAAACCACAUGCCAUUGACUAAGUAAUUAAUUGACACAAUUUAAAAUAUAAUACCACAAAAAAUUUGGAAAAUGUGCAAAUUUGUUUCUUGUAAAAAGAAUUCAAAACAAAAGAAUAUAUAUAAAUAUUGUAGCAUAUUAUCACAACAACAUAAGUGGUAUAGUGGUUAAGGCAUUAAGGAGUUAAGUGGGAGGGGUUCGAACCCCUCUAUGCUCAAAAUUGAGACUUUUCAAAAUUUUCAGGAAUUUUUGGACUAAUAUCGCGAUAUUAUAGCUAAUAUCGCGAUAUUUUAACGAAAACUCAUUGGAUACUCAUUAAAAUAUCGGUAACUAAAAAAAACGAAAAUAUCGCCGAUAUAUCGGCGAUAUUUUGGAUAUUUUCUUCCAUGGAUAUCACUAAUCAGCAAGUACUAGACAUGCAUUCAAAUGUUUUAAUAAAAAACUUGUAUUGCCAUUUAUACUCCAAACCGGUGUUACGUACAAAUUUAGCUAGUAGACCACAUAUAAAAACUUAAAAUAAUGAUGAUAUACUUUUUUAUUAACCAUUGAAUAUCAUACAAUAGUUUAGUAAUAGGAUUUUUAGUACUUGCGCAAAAAAUGGUUAAAAUCACACAAAAUACUUGUAACAAUACAAGGUAGUUGUAGUAAGAGUGCUCAUGCAACUAAAAGAAAACCGUUUUGAAAAUCAUUUUAAAAUGCACUAGGGUUCCGCCAUCACCUUAACAAUCUUAUGUAGUUUUACUAAUUAUAUGAAUUACACAUGCAACUUUGAAGGUUAGGUUUUUCUAAUGCAUAUUCUACUUGUGGCAUUCAAGGUAGGAUGUAUAUCAAACAUGUAAUCCAUCUGUGAUAUUCAAAUCAAAUGUAAACAUGCAUGAGUCAUUACACUUUUCGGGUGGCAUUCCAAGAAAUUGCAUCCAAUUACUUAUAUAAACAUUUUAAUGUGAUCAAGCAUCAAUGCAUAAAGACAAUUUAAACACAAUGAUUAAUAAUUCAAAGAACCCAUGCAUAAUGUCAUAAACAAUUAAAUAAAGCCUACAUAUUCAUGCUAAAGCUCAUGGCCACCCUAGUAAAAGAAAGUUAAUUACACAUAAUCAUAAUUAAUAUCAAAUGAAAUAUUAUUAAGAAAAAUGAUAGAAAACACAUUGAAAGAAGAAUAGUAGCUGAAUAAGCCUUAUUUAUACUACUACAAACCUUUCCCCAGAAAAAAGCCUUCUUAAAACUAGAAAACAAAAUAAAUUAAAGUAAACUAGGAAACAAUCUUCUAUAUUAAUUAAUGUGGAGAACUUGCUUAGCCACAAAUCGGCCACGUUUAGAACCCAAAACACCUCCAAAUUGAGCCCAAAAGACCUUGCUUUAAAGCUUGAGAUGUUCUGAAUAUCUUUGUAGAAAGCCUUGAACCCAAAAUGUGACAACCCGUCCUUAGUUCUACGAUUUUAUAAAUUUUAAAAGAAUGAAUUUACGAAAAUGCCCUAGAGUUGAAGGUUUUGCCUUUCAUUGACCAACGUGCAGAGAAACGUAUGACUUAUUCACUAAGCACAUUUGUGUAGUACUCAUUGGUACAAACGCAUAGGCGAAAGCCCAUUGCGAGU